AGUUGGGGCUUUUUACCCCAGACGUCAAUCGGUUUCGGCCUAGGGAUCGGGAAAUUAACCGCGGUCGCAGGCACCAGAACGGGCCAUCCAGCAAGGUCGUUGGCCCAUGCUAUAGAGGGAGACUACAUGCCGAUUGCGACAUCCUGGAGGGGCCUCGCGGCCGGUCUUUUUUCCUCACUCCCUCCUCGAGGCGGGGAGUGGGAAAAAAUGCGCCCUGGGAGCUUUCUCGAGAUGUGGAAGCCGUAUUUCUGUCCUCUUAUCGGGAAGGGAUCGUCUAUUUUCCCGUUCCCCUUUGCCGCCAACAGAAGCGCGUUUCUACUCUACUCUAUGAGAAUCAGCUGUAUCCUCGUAUAAGAGGCUAUUUUAAUUGUGGGGGGGAAGCGGGGGCGUCUGCGGCAGCUGUCCUCCUCCGCUUUUUGUUUCGCAGAGGCGGUGGUACGAGCGCUCGGAGACUCCGUCUGGCCGGCUCCGCGGUGCUGACACGGGUGCGCUUCCGCCGGAAGCGAGUGAAAAGGGUCACUCCGGCGGGCGCUGCCUCCCGCUCCCGCUUCAUUGACGGGGCGGGCGGCCAGCAGGCCACCGCUUUUACUGUGAAAAACUCAGAGUGCUCAGAGCAGGCCUCGCGGGGGCCUUCCAUCCCCGCGGCAAGGCCCGAAUGUAAUCUCAUGGAAUAAUGGAAGACGACCUCGGCCCAGUUGUUUGUGGCGCGAUUUUAGUGGCCGCCGAGGUAAUGAUUAACAGGGACCGACGGGGGCAGUCGUACUGCGACGCGAGAGGUGAAAUUCUGAGACCGUCGCAUGACGCCCUACCGCGAAGGCAG
This 820-nucleotide ribosomal RNA is filed under the name Metapenaeus dobsoni (kadal shrimp). RNAcentral describes it as "partial small subunit ribosomal RNA". The stretch from base 583 to 820 matches the Rfam family "Eukaryotic small subunit ribosomal RNA", at positions 749 to 954 of the family's 1831-position model. Lineage: Eukaryota; Metazoa; Arthropoda; Malacostraca; Decapoda; Penaeidae. The record is from RNAcentral.